This 614-nucleotide ribosomal RNA is filed under the name Eimeria phalacrocoraxae. RNAcentral's name for it is "SSU rRNA". It matches the Rfam family "Eukaryotic small subunit ribosomal RNA", at positions 146 to 761 of the family's 1831-position model. Lineage: Eukaryota; Apicomplexa; Conoidasida; Eucoccidiorida; Eimeriidae. The record is from RNAcentral.
ACCAUGGUAAUUCUAUGGCUAAUACAUGCGCAAAUGCCACCUUCUCUGGAGGGGCAGUGUUUAUUAGAUACAAAACCAACCCACUUUUGUGGAGCCUUGGUGAUUCAUAGUAACCGAACGGAUCGCAUUUUGGCUUCGGCCUGCGAUAGAUCAUUCAAGUUUCUGACCUAUCAGCUUUCGACGGUAGGGUAUUGGCCUACCGUGGCAGUGACGGGUAACGGGGAAUUAGGGUUCGAUUCCGGAGAGGGAGCCUGAGAAACGGCUACCACAUCUAAGGAAGGCAGCAGGCGCGCAAAUUACCCAAUGAAAACAGUUUCGAGGUAGUGACGAGAAAUAACAAUACAGGGCAUUUAUUGCUUUGUAAUUGGAAUGAUGGGAAUGUAAAACCCUUUCAGAGUAACAAUUGGAGGGCAAGUCUGGUGCCAGCAGCCGCGGUAAUUCCAGCUCCAAUAGCGUAUAUUAGAGUUGUUGCAGUUAAAAAGCUCGUAGUUGGAUUUCUGUCGGUGUCGUCCGGUUCCGCCUGUAUAGGUGUGCACCAGGAUAGGCUUCGGCAUUCUUCCGUAGCCCGUUCCCGCUUCAUUGCGUGGAGGGUGUUUCGGAACUUUUACUUUGAG